AACGAUACUAAAAUACUCGAAUGCAUUCCAAUAGAAGUAUAAUAAUCUCUCGGGUGACAAUUAAAUCACCCCCUUCAAUGACCAUCGCGUUUCACCUUCGAAUUGAGUCGUUCGUAAACGAUCUUCCGCAGAUCGGAGAAGGGAAAUACACGGCUAUCGAGGAUAAAAUAAACGAAGCGAUGCGAGCGUGUAAUGGCAACGUGGGUCGCUCAAGAGGAAAGAAAUCGGUUCGGCCGUGAAACCGCGGUCCACUCUCUUUCAUUGGACUUUAGUAGUACGUAGACGAUGGAGCAUCCAGGACGAAGGAGCAUAAAUGGAUUAGAAGGGUCCUGCCGGAUGACUAAGUUUUAGCCAGGGCAGCGCCGGCGCCAAAUCCAAUUUGAUCUUAACGUUAACUCGAUCCCGCGUACGGUUACACGGUGAAUUAAACGUCGUUGACAACGUGGAGGUAACCGAGGUCUCAAAAAUACCCUCUUAUGGGUAUAUACACCGCCGAUACAAGCCAACAAGUGGCGAGUCGAUCACUUUUUUCUUCACAAAAAUUUCUUCAAGGAUACUUUAUUUCCUUAUUCAAUUAUUCCUUUAAACUAGCAAGGUGUUCAUGAUAUCAUCAUCGUCUCAAGAUUCAUCAACACACGUAUGGGACGUAACGAGAUACAAAUAUUUAUUACCAUCCAUAUCAAUCAAGUUCCGACAUCCAUUUCAACAACCUUGUGGGACAUCAAAGCGUUCUCCUGCUUCCGUAUCGUCCUCCUUGAUCAUCCUCGUCCUCAAAGGAGAGCUCUGAAAUCUCGAUGGCUCUAUAUACAGAAGCUCGCGUAAUCGCUUCGAAUCCGAUUAUGCAUUAAAGAUCCUGCCGCUGACUUCGCGAUUUCGCGAUGAUCUUCGCGCUUUGUAAACGACCGGGGAUGUUCCAUCCUUGCCACGUACCUAACUUGAAAAGUUGCUGGAUCCCCACGACUGGUUUCCGUUGGAGAGGACCAGAGCCACGGAAGAUGAUUACGACGGUGGAGGGUGGACUGGUAAAAUUGGGGAGAACAAGGUGAAUUCGGGUGGCUCGGGUCCGGUUUAUCGAGCUGGAACAACAAGCGGCAAUCAGGCAUAACUCGAUCAUUUCAUUCUUCUACGUCCGUGCUCCGCCCUCGAUCUUCGUGGCCCUUCCUGUGUCGCCCCCGAACUGCUCGCGAUAUACACGCGUAGAGGACGAUUCAAAAGUGUGAGGAUGAAAUGGAAAUGGACGUUUGAUGGACGACUUUGGUUAAUUGGAAUAUUUAAUAAUUUGUUUUGAUGAAGAUAAUAUUUAAAAGUACAUCAGGUC
Apis mellifera (honey bee) is the source of this 1318-nucleotide long non-coding RNA. RefSeq lists it as uncharacterized. The record is from RefSeq and is a predicted model, not a curated record. Lineage: Eukaryota; Metazoa; Arthropoda; Insecta; Hymenoptera; Apidae. The transcript has 3 exons.